AUGGUGUGCGCGUCACCAUCAGUUUGUUUUUCCUUAUAUUAUGCAGGUCUUCCACCCCCAGCUUUGGCGCCUCUAGCAAUAAUCACAACCCUCGCCGCCUCACAUCCCCCAUUCUCGCCAUCGUGGGAGAUCGCCAUCGAGAAAGCCCAAGCGACCACCAAGGACGGCGGUGGCGAGGUAUGUUCCCUCAAUUGCUUCUUCUUGUCGCUUUUGGUGAGUAUGAUCUUGUCGAACGCGGUCGCUUGGCCAUGCGUGCUCCAGUCGCUUCCUGGAGCCAUGUGGAGGUGUGGUGGCUACUUCAUCACGUCGUUUCAGGUGGCGAGGUAUGUUCCCUCGGUAGCUUCUUCAUCAUGUCGUUUCGGGUGGCUACUUCAUCAUGUUUCAGGUGGCGAGGUAUGUUCCCUCGGUUGCUUCUUCUUGUCGCUUUUGGUGAGUAUGAUCUUGUCGGAUGCGGUCGCUUGGCCAUGCGCGCUCUAG
This 477-nucleotide ribosomal RNA is filed under the name Triticum aestivum (bread wheat). RNAcentral's name for it is "partial small subunit ribosomal RNA". Lineage: Eukaryota; Viridiplantae; Streptophyta; Magnoliopsida; Poales; Poaceae. The record is from RNAcentral.